AUACGGAAGGUCCGGGCGUUAUCCGGAUUUAUUGGGUUUAAAGGGAGCGCAGGCGGAGAUGCAAGCGUGACGUCAAAUUUCGGGGCUCAACCCCGUCUCGCGUCGCGAACUGCGUCCCUUGGUUGCGGGAAGGGGAGGCGGAACUCGUGGUGUAGCGGUGAAAUGCAUAGAUAUCACGAAGAACUCCGAUCGCGAAGGCGGCCUGCCGGCCCGUCAACGACGCUCAUGCACGAAGGGGCGGGUAUCAAACAGGAUUAGAUACCCUGGUAGUCCACGCCGUAAACGAUGGGCGCUCGUCGUCGGCGGCAGGCAGUCGGCGGCCAAGCGAAAGCGAUAAGCGCCCCACCUGGGGAGUACGGUCGCAAGGCUGAAACUCAAAUGAAUUGACGGGG
Molecule: ribosomal RNA, 392 nt
Filed under: uncultured bacterium
Lineage: Bacteria
Description: partial 16S ribosomal RNA
Rfam family: Bacterial small subunit ribosomal RNA
Source: RNAcentral